GAAAGGCCCUGCUUGCAGGGUACUCGAGUGGCGAACGGGUGAGUAACACGUGGGUGAUCUGCCCUGCACUUCGGGAUAAGCCUGGGAAACUGGGUCUAAUACCGGAUAGGAGCCAUUUUUAGUGUGAUGGUUGGAAAGUUUUUUCGGUGUAGGAUGAGCUCGCGGCCUAUCAGCCUUGUUGGUGGGGUAAUGGCCUGCCAAGGCGGCGACGGGUAGCCGGCCUGAGAGGGUGGACGGCCACAUUGGGACUGAGAUACGGCCCAGACUCCUACGGGAGGCAGCAGUGGGGAAUAUUGCACAAUGGGCGCAAGCCUGAUGCAGCGACGCCGCGUGGGGGAUGACGGCCUUCGGGUUGUAAACUCCUUUCGCUAGGGACGAAGCUUUUUGUGACGGUACCUAGAUAAGAAGCACCGGCUAACUACGUGCCAGCAGCCGCGGUAAUACGUAGGGUGCGAGCGUUGUCCGGAAUUACUGGGCGUAAAGGGCUCGUAGGUGGUUUGUCGCGUCGUCUGUGAAAUUCCGGGGCUUAACUCCGGGCGUGCGGGCGAUACGGGCAUAACUUGAGUACUGUAGGGGUAACUGGAAUUCCUGGUGUAGCGGUGAAAUGCGCAGAUAUCAGGAGGAACACCGAUGGCGAAGGCAGGUUACUGGGCAGUUACUGACGCUGAGGAGCGAAAGCAUGGG
This 684-nucleotide ribosomal RNA is filed under the name uncultured Actinomycetales bacterium. RNAcentral describes it as "bacterial SSU rRNA". It matches the Rfam family "Bacterial small subunit ribosomal RNA", at positions 68 to 765 of the family's 1533-position model. The record is from RNAcentral. Lineage: Bacteria; Bacillati; Actinomycetota; Actinomycetes; Actinomycetales.